UUUUUUUUUCCUUCCUUUUCCUUCCUAUGGGGCUAAAAAAAGAAUUAAGCCUUCUGUAUGAAAUGACUGAUUCAGUGUAAAGCCAUACGCUCUUUUCCCACCCUUCUGUGAGAAUCACUUCUUUACUUUGACUGACAAAAAAAUAAUGUGUUUGUGUGAGCACAGCCCUACUUAGAGGAAGAAAUGAAACUUCAGCAUCAUCCACAGUUUUGGGCUUUGAUAUUCUUGAACACAAUGUACUAAAAGAAGGGCCCAAGCCACCCCUUCUACAGAAAGGGGAUAUGUUUGGGAUGCAUAUUUAACCAUGCAAAGCGUAAUGUUGAGUGAGGUUGAGCACCUGCAGAGUAGGAACUGGCAGAGCCGAGGUGACACCGUGCAUCCCUUGUUCUUGUGAUGACCAGAGAGAGGAAUUUGCUUCUGCGUGAGCCCUGCUGCACUGGCCCUCUCCACCCGGCUGCAGGACCUGAGAGGGAUGUGUGCUUGAGGAGAUCUGAGCCCUCACAUCUACUUACAUUUCUGCUUCCAAGAAUUGCUCUUAGGUAAAGAACACUCCUGCCUUCGAUUAAAAGAACUAAUUUACAAAGCAACAAUAAGCAAAGAAAACCCUUCUGUACAACAGUCGCAGCACCUCAUUGCUACUGAGCUCAAAAGACCAACUUGACAUUUCGUGUUGGCUCCUGUGCUGAAGCAACAGGAAUAAUGGGGACCAGCUGAGUGCAGGCAGACCUUCAGUCCUCUGGGUCCUUCAAAAGCCAGCAACCGUGAGAGGGGCCGUGGUUACACCGGAACAAUGUCCUGUCAUGAAGCUCGGGGCAUCAGCGCCGACGUCAAAGGCUGCUCAGCCAGGAAAGACCCCGGCUGGAUCUCCUGGAAGCUGGCGCUCGCAGCAGCAGCUCGGGAGGGCUGCGAUGCGCAGACGGCUGCAGCCCUGUCUCUGCUAAUUGGCUCUGUUCCUCUGGAUGCUGCUGGUUUAUGCCCAGCACUGUGAAGCCUCCGCAACUGAGCAGAAAAAAAAUGUUGAGGAAGUUUCCUCCUGCAGCAGCAAAUCUCAAACCCAUGGAGCCUUGAUAAAUAAAUAAGGAUCCACGUUCUGCUCCCA
RNAcentral lists this long non-coding RNA (1099 nucleotides) under Anser brachyrhynchus (Pink-footed goose). RNAcentral's name for it is "lncRNA (ENSABRG00000001535.1)". Lineage: Eukaryota; Metazoa; Chordata; Aves; Anseriformes; Anatidae. The record is from RNAcentral.